CGGUUUGGCGGCGAGUGGCGAACGGGUGAGUAAUAUAUCGGAACGUACCCAAUAGCGGGGGAUAGCCCGGGGAAACUCGGAUUAAUACCGCAUACGCCCCACGGGGGAAAGGCCGGGAUCUUCGGACCGGUCACUAUUGGAGGAGCCUGCGUAGGAUUAGCUAGUUGGUGAGGUAAAGGCUCACCAAGGCGACGAUCCUUAGCUGGUCUGAGAGGACGAUCAGCCACACUGGAACUGAGACACGGUCCAGACUCC
RNAcentral lists this ribosomal RNA (255 nucleotides) under uncultured bacterium. RNAcentral's name for it is "partial 16S ribosomal RNA". It matches the Rfam family "Bacterial small subunit ribosomal RNA", at positions 81 to 339 of the family's 1533-position model. The record is from RNAcentral.